Molecule: long non-coding RNA, 393 nt
Filed under: Gossypium raimondii (Peruvian cotton)
Lineage: Eukaryota; Viridiplantae; Streptophyta; Magnoliopsida; Malvales; Malvaceae
Description: long non-coding RNA (GRAI_LNC007771)
Source: RNAcentral
CGGGAGUCAGUUACGUACGAGGAAGGAUUAGCACCCUCGUAACGCCCAAAAUUGGUACCUAGUUAAUUAAUUAGUGUCUUAAGGUCGAGAAUUUGGAAAAACGUAAUCCUUAGCAAAACUUAAAAGGCUACGUAUUAAGACCCUUAUUAUUUCAGAGAAAGAAGAUACCACACCCAAUGCGUUAGGGCACAACAUUCUAAUUUUCCCCCAAAAAUGAAUUGGGCCAAAAUACUUAUACAAUAAAACUUUAAAAGAACAUCCACUUAUCCAAGAUUUAAGAAAUCACACCCAAUACGUUAGGGCACUAUUCCUUUAGAAUCCCAAACUCGGAAUAUUUCCUUUACUUUAAAAGAAAGUCCGCUUAUCCAAGAUUUAAGAAAUCACACCCAAUAC